CUAGAGUAUGAUCCUGGCUCAGAACGAACGCUGGCGGCAGGCUUAACACAUGCAAGUCGAGCGCGUGGCAACACGAGCGGCAGACGGGUGAGUAACACGUGGGAACGUACCCUUUUCUACGGAAUAACGCAGGGAAACUUGUGUUAAUACUGUAUACGCCCUUUUGGGGAAAGAUCUCUCGGAGAAGGAUCGGCCCGCGUUGGAUUAGCUAGUUGGUGGGGUAAAGGCCUACCAGGGGACGAUCCAUAGCUGGUCUGAGAGGAUGAUCACCCACAUUGGGGAUGAGCCGCGGCCCAAAAUCCUACGGGAGGCAGCAGUGGGGAAUAUUGGACAAUGGGCGCAAGCAUGAUCCAUCCAUUCCGCGAGAGUGAUGAAGACCUUAGGGUUGUAAAGCUCUUUCACCGGAGAAGAUAAUGGCGGUAUCCGGAGAAGAACCCCCGGCUAUCUUCGUCCCAACAGCCGCGGUAAUGUGAAGGGGGAUAGCGUUGUUGGGAAUUUGUGGGUGUAAAGCGCACGUAGGCGGAUAUUUAAGUCAGGGGUGAAAUCCCAGAUCUCAACUGUGGAGCCACCUUUGAUUCUGGGUAUCUUGAGUAUGGAAGAGGAUAGUGGAAUUGCGAGUGUAGAGGUGAAAUUUGUAGAUAUUCGCAGGCACCCCAGUGGAGAAGGCGUCUAUGUGGUCCAUAACUGACGCUGAGGUGAGAAAGCGUGGGGAGCAAACAGGAUUAGAUCCCCUGGUAGUCCACCCCGUAAACGAUGAAUGUUAUCCGUCGGCAAGUUUACUGUCGGUGGCGCAGCUAACGCAUAGCAUCC
This 810-nucleotide ribosomal RNA is filed under the name Neorhizobium petrolearium. RNAcentral describes it as "bacterial SSU rRNA". It matches the Rfam family "Bacterial small subunit ribosomal RNA", at positions 1 to 869 of the family's 1533-position model. The record is from RNAcentral. Lineage: Bacteria; Pseudomonadati; Pseudomonadota; Alphaproteobacteria; Hyphomicrobiales; Rhizobiaceae.